Non-coding RNA from Xyrichtys novacula (pearly razorfish), 420 nucleotides. The record is from the annotation of a GenBank genome assembly. Lineage: Eukaryota; Metazoa; Chordata; Actinopteri; Labriformes; Labridae.
GAAACUCUGGAUCCACAGACAGGAAAGGAAAACCUAGAACAACAAUCAGACUUGUGCAAAAUUAGGGAUUUUUUUUCAAAACAGUGGUUGUAUUAAAUGUACAGCUUUUCAAAAGUUUGGUUUCUCAAAAAAAGGUAGAUUUUAUAAAAAGGUUUCUCAAAAAAUUUUGAUUUGCUACAAUAGGUCUCAAUGAUUUGUUACAAUAGGCCUCAAUGAUUUGUUAAAAUAGGUCUCAAUGAUUUGUUACAAUAGGCCUCAAUGAUUUGUUACAAUAGGUCUCAAUGAUUUGUUACAAUAGGCCUCAAUGAUUUGUUUCAAUGGUAUCAAAGAUUUGUUUCAAUGGCAUCAAAGAUUUGUUUCAAUGGUAUCAAAGAUUUGUUUCAAUGGUAUCAAAGAUUUAUUCAAGGAUUGUAUCAGUAG